This 69-nucleotide transfer RNA is filed under the name Sephisa princeps. RNAcentral's name for it is "tRNA-Trp". Lineage: Eukaryota; Metazoa; Arthropoda; Insecta; Lepidoptera; Nymphalidae. The record is from RNAcentral. RNAcentral also lists the same sequence under 1 other name.
AAGGUUUUAAGUUAAAAUUAAACUAAUAGUCUUCAAAAUUAUUUAUAAAGAAAUACUCUUUAAGCCUUA